AUUGAACGCUGGCGGCAGGCCUAACACAUGCAAGUCGAACGAGUGGCGGACGGGUGAGUAAUGUCUGGGAAACUGCCCGAUGGAGGGGGAUAACUACUGGCAACGGUAGCUAAUACCGCAUACCAUCGGAUGUGCCCAGAUGGGAUUAGCUAGUAGGUGGGGUACCGGCUCACCUAGGCGACGAUCCCUAGCUGGUCUGAGAGGAUGACCAGCCACGCUGGAACGGAGACACUGCCCAGACGCCUACGAGAGGCAGCAGUGGGGAAUAUUGCACAAUGGGCGCAAGCCGGAUGCAGCCAUGCCGCGUGUAUGAGGAAGGCCUUCGAGUUGUAAAGUACUUUCAGCGAGGAGGCGUUACUCGCAGAAGAGGCACCGGCUAACUCCGUGCCAGCAGCCGCGGUAAUAC
RNAcentral lists this ribosomal RNA (406 nucleotides) under uncultured bacterium. RNAcentral's name for it is "partial 16S ribosomal RNA". It matches the Rfam family "Bacterial small subunit ribosomal RNA", at positions 30 to 526 of the family's 1533-position model. The record is from RNAcentral.